Molecule: long non-coding RNA, 644 nt
Organism: Gasterosteus aculeatus aculeatus (three-spined stickleback)
Lineage: Eukaryota; Metazoa; Chordata; Actinopteri; Perciformes; Gasterosteidae
Source: Ensembl
GUCUGCUCAGAGGAGGGGAAUGUGCUUCCAGACUGUUUGGAGACAGAACAUUGCGUCUUGAAACAACAGUUCACUCGGAUCUAUGAUGCAAGAGAGAUUCAGUUUAGAUCGUGGUUCGAUGUGGACCCUGGUCCUGCCUCUCAGGGACACUGUUCUAUUUGCGUGGCGCUGCUGAACAAAAGGCCUGGUCACCCAUGGUGUGGAGAUGAGUGUUGGGGACCUAGAGGAGCAAGCUGGUUGCAGAUCUGAGGGUGCGGGUGAAGGUUGGAAAUUUUUCCUGUGCCGAUGUGAGGGACAGGGAAUGGAGCUGGGAAGGGCCCGACUCUCACCGCCGCCUGCAGGAGAACCAAUACCCUCUUAACCUCUAGUCCAUGCCCAGCUGUUUUGUCUAGGGAAGAGCCCCACUGUGGCUGCGGCAAGGUCUCAAUAGACUUCGUCGUUGUUCUACACCUCAGAGCGUACCAGACGGUGAUGGAGGAGCAGAAGAUGGACUCGAUGAUGGAGUGCACCAUCAUCGUCAUUGGCAGGUUGACUUUCUUCAGCUGUCUCAGGAAGAACAACCUCUGCUCAGCCUUCUUGGUGAUGGAGCUGAAGUUCAGCCCAGAAAACGAAAGGAAUCCACAGCGUUGAUGGGGUGAUGGGGG